This 20674-nucleotide long non-coding RNA is filed under the name Glycine max (soybean). RNAcentral's name for it is "long non-coding RNA (GMAX_LNC004062)". Lineage: Eukaryota; Viridiplantae; Streptophyta; Magnoliopsida; Fabales; Fabaceae. The record is from RNAcentral.
CAGUAAUCGAUGUAAAAACACAAAAAAAACAAUCUGCUAAGUCGGUUACUUCACUAACCGAUGUAAAACUACAUGCUCAUCUAAGAUGGUUAUGCUAAAAACCAUCUUAGUUUUCAACAAUCCAAGUCGGUCAUUUGCACAACCGAUGUAGAAACACAAAAAUGCUAUGGUAAAUCUAAGUCGGUUAUGCUAAAAAUCGUCUUAGUUUUGUAACAAUCUAAGUCGGUCAUUUACAUAACAGAUGUAGAAAUGAGAGUUUACCAAGGCGGUUUUGGUCUGAAAACCGCCUUGGAUAACGUCAAUUUCUAAGACGGCUAUGAAAUAACCGUCUUAGUAUAGGUAAUAAUCUAAGACGGUUCAAAACCCAUCGUUGUAAAAGCGACCCUUUUUUACGACAUGCUCAUCUAAGACGAUUAAAAACCGACUUAGAAGAGCCAAUUCGACCGACUUAGAAGAGGCUUAUUGUAGUAGUGUAUGUCAUUCUUUUUCUUUUAGUUUUUGAAAUUUUUUGUCCUUAUCCUUACAAAUAUGUCACUUUCUACUUUUAGUUGUUGUAAUUUAUUUAUUUAUUUGGUCUCUAUAUAUAAUAUUUAUUAAAUAUGUCACCUUUAGUCUUUGAAAACAUCAUCAUAGCCUACAUGACAAUCGAAGACAUCAUCAAGAAGUCAUCACUAUCAACCAUGCUAGCUUUUAUGUAACAUGGAGUGAUGAGAGAAACUAAAAGAGAAAUAUUUGAAAAAGGUAAGCACAAAAACCAAACAAAAAUAAUUAUAGGGAUCCAAAUUAAAAAGUGAUAUGUUAGUUAAUAGAAGCAAAAAAAAACAUAAUUAAGCUACAAUUCAUAAAAACCAAAAUCAAAUAGAGUAUAUUACAUGAACUAAAAAUAUUUCUAAUUCUUAAAAAAAUAUUAUUUCCUUUAAAAUUGUUCUAACCAAGACAUUUUUUUAUUCUUGCGAAAUUUAUUCACCUAGUUGGUAUGCAUAAUACUUAGUGAAAGUAUAAUCAUAUUCUUCACAUAUCACAAGCAAUAUAAUCAUAGUUGGUCUUGAUAUUUUAUGGAUUCGAGAUGAAAUAAUAAAUAGGGAUCGUUUUAUACAAGUAUUAUAAACAUUUUUCAUAAAAGAAAUAUGCACACAAUUUCAUUAAAAUACAUUUUGUUACAUAUAACAUAUUUUCUUUAAUCAUAAAUACUUACAAAUACAAAAUAGAUUUAAAUACGUUUUUGAUCUCUUAAUUUAUGACACUUUUUGCUUUUGGUUCCCCAAAUUUAAAUUUAGUUUUUUAGUUCCCUAAUUCUGAUUUUUUUUUUUCUUUUUAGUCUCUCUACAUAAAAAUAAAUAAAUAUCCCAAUAACCUCAAAAUAAGAUUUUUUUAUGAAGAGAAAUUCAAAUUAAAAUUUUUCAAAAUUGAGGAACUAAAGAAGAUGAAUUUAAAUUUGAGAAACCAAAAACAAAAAUGACUCACAUUUGAGGGAUGAAAACACAUAUUUAAGCCAAGAAUUAAUAUUUAUAUGUGAAUAGCUAGGCAUUUAAUUUUUUGUUGGAAAUUAUUUUUUUUUUUGCUUCCAUGAAUAUCCUUAACCUUUAGUUGGAGUCUAGUUCCUUUCAAAGCAUAUAGAUUAUUGAAGUAAAUUUUAUCUCUUUAAACAAAACAAAUUUAUAUCCGAUAAUGCUUGGAUAAGUUAAGAUUUGGGAAUUGAAUGAGUUUUGAAAAAUACCAACAAGAUGAAGUUCUUGCCAAAAUAUUUUUUUAAAAUUUUUUUAUCUUCAAUUAAAAUUGUCUUAUAUUUUUUGCACCAUUAUCAACCAUGCACCUUGGGCGGUUGCACCUCUAAACUAACGCAAGCCGACACUAAACAUAAUUUUAUGAAGAAGUAUAUGUUUAACAAGAACAAAGCAAAAUGAGGUUAUUAACUAGUAAACUUGACCAAAUGCAUGUACAAUUACUUAUUAUUCAAAACCCUUGAGAGUGAAAUCCCAUCCCUAUGAUUAAAAAUGAGAGAGAAUUUAAAUAAUACGAAAGGAGGUAUGAAAUUUUAAUGGUAGAUUUUCACUUAAGAGAAUCGAAGUAAAAAUUCCAAUUUAGAAAAUCCAUCUUCUUAAAUUUCCUUUCUCUUAUUUCUAGUUAAGGAUUGAGAUUUUAUUGGACACAAAUAUUACAUGAAAAGAUCCAACACAUAGAAUGGAUUCUUUUAUUUGAAAAUUUCACAUGAAUUCUCUCCCUGAAAAUCUUCCCCAUCAAAACUCCAUGUUCCUUUUUUCAUUAUUUAAACCCCUCUUUUUUUUUAAUUAGACAAAUAUUAACGGAAAUUAUUAUCUUAAGAACACUAGUUAAGAAAGUAAAAAAAAAAGUUUUUUUUUUCUAUUAGAAUAUGUAAAAAUAUGUUCACAUAUGAUUUUUAAAUGAUACUGAUAUAAUUUUUCAUAAAUUUUUUUCCUUUUAAUUUCUUAAUUAGUAUUUUUAAGACACUAAUUAACAAAAUUAUUUGAAUUAAGGAUUUAGACUCUAGAUUGUGCUAAACAAAAUUAUCACACAUAACGGAUAAAAUAAAUGUAAGUAUUGAUGAUUAUAAAAUAAUAAUGGAACAUUGGAACUAUUGAUGGCAUCACCUUGACACGUUCCCAUAUUGAGGUCAAUGAGUGAUAUAUCACUCUGCGCUGGCUAGCAUUAUUAGCUCUUUCUAUAAUGAUGUGCUAUAUAUUUAUCGUUUUCAACUUACAUAACAUACCAUGAAAACUGCUGCUUCCACUACAACUUUAGCAGCCACUUACAUUUAUCCUUCUUUCUUCCUUCAGCUACUGUAAAAAGUGCCUUGAUACUAUGCUUAUUCAAAAUAUGCAGAGAUAUAUAACUAAUAAAGUUUAUUCAGUUGAUCCAAAUAUGUUUAAACGUUUAUUAAAUCUUGAGAUCUAUUCUAACUUCAAUGAGCAUAUGAAACUCAAUCAUUUAAACUUUUUGCAAUAAAAAAAAUAUAUGCAAAGAUUCAUUUGAAUUUGAUUUAACUAAGAAAAUUUUUUGCUAUCUGUACGAGUUUCCUAUUUUAUUUUCAACUAUAUAAAUGUUAUAUUAUUGCUAUUUUUAAUUUUUAAUUAAACAAUUAAAUUAUUUUUUAUUAAUUUUUUAUAAAGAUGGACAUGGACUUUUCUGUAAUAAAAGAUAAAAAAAAUAUCUUAAAAAACAAAUCAUUCUAAACCUUUCUUAAGCAACAAGUAUAGUUAUUUUUUUUUAGAAACUUAGAGUAUGUUUGGUUUAAAAAAGAAAGUAAAAGGAAAAAAAAUAGAAAAUGAGAUUCUUUUUAAAUUGUUUGUUAAGAAACAAAAUAAAAGUAAAGGAAGUUAAAAAAAUUCUUUCUUUUAUAUGAUUAAGUAGAAAGUUAAAGGGAAAAAAUAUAUAAUAUACAACACUAAGUUUGCUGGACUUGUGUAAUUGUGUUCUUCUCACUCCUUUUAGCCCACUUUUGAAUGGAAUGCUUUUUUUUUUUUUUUUUCUGUGAAUCUCAUAUUUUCUUUCCUUCCUAUUUUUUAGAUGAACCAAACCACCAUGAAAUGAAAUGUCAUCAUUUCCUUCCUUUUCCAUUUUCUGGAAACAAACACAACAUUAACGUUUGUUGGACUUGUGUAAUUGUGUUCCAUUACGUGAAAUAAAGUUUUAAAUUUUAAUUAAAAUAUAUGUUUCAAUACAACAUUUUUUAGACUAUAAUAAAUAUUGGCAAAAAUCUUAGAUGUUCCUGUAAAAUUUCAGUUGCUAAGCUAGUGGAGUUUCAAUAGCAUUAUUAUUCUCUCCAAGCAAAAGCAGCAAGUUUAACGUUUUCUUCCUUUAACUAUUAAAAUCGCAAUAGUAAAAUAAAAUAAAAUAAGAGGUCUCCUACUCUUAAAACAGCAAGGAAAACUUCAUUCAAGAAGUUAAAAAAUGGCGUCAAACUUGAUUAACAUUAAAAAGCUAGCGGGGGGCUAGAGAUUUACAAUGACAACUAUUCAAACGGGGCAACAUAUUAAUCCUUUAAUAUAUCAAUUUCGUUCUUGUGAUGAUGACUUUUCAUAAAUUAUUUCAAUUAGAGCUAAGCAGGUAUGUCACCCUUUUUCUUCUUCUUGAAUAUGAGGUGGUGGUGUUAUCAUCUCUUGACUUGGUGGUGGUAUACUAACCCUCCUUUUCUUGACCAUGAGGUGGUGGUGUUACCAUCUCUUGGCUUAGUGGUGCCAUAUUACCCAUUCGGUAGACCUGGUGGGUAACUCUCAGUUGACUCUGGUGGUGUCACCAUCCCCUUGAAUUUAUUGAAUUGAAGAAAUCAAAGUCGGCAACAGUGUUAACAAGUCCAUGAUAACAAUAUUGAAUUUCAAGUUAUUAGUAUUAGUAUUAUGUAUAUGCGGAUCCUAGGGAAAGAAAAGAAUGAGUCCACUCAAUUUCUUUUAAAAAAAUUAUAUAUAAACUUUGUUUUCUUCCUAAUAAAAUUAUGAUAAAUGUAAAUGAACGGAAAGGCUCCUUCAAUAUAGGAUGUGUCAAUACCACGUUGGAACUGCUAAUAAAAGUCUAUUCAAAAUAUUAUUGUACAAACCUAAAUCACAAGUUGAAAUACAAGUACUCAACCAACUCUUGGUGUUAGGGAAUUUUAGUGGCUUCGGAGGGAAAUCAAACCCGUAUCUAUGAGAAAUAUAUGAAUUUCAGAUUUAUAUAAAGUUGUUAUAAAAAAAAUUAUGUACUAAUAAAAAAACCUUAAUGAUUGUAGUUUCCAUUGAUAUAUUAUUUAUCUAAAUAGAAUUUGAAUCGACUGCCUCCUCAUAAGUAUGAUUUAAAUCGGAGGGAAAUCAAACCCGUAUCUAUGGGAAAUAUGUGAAUUUCAGAUUUAUAUAUAAAGUUGUUAUAUAUAGAAAAAAAUUAUGUACUAAUAAAAAAACCUUAAUGAUAACGUACUUUCCAGUGAUAUAUUAUUUAUCUAAAUAGAAUUUGAAUUUACUGGCUCUUAAUAAGUUUGAUUUAAAUUUAUUAAUAAUGGAAAUUAAUGAAUUUGGUGCUUCGUAUUGAUUGAUCUAGGAUGUAUGAAUUAUUGUAAAUUUAUGAUACUAAUAAAAAAGAAAUUAACUGGUCAAACUUUGUUAGAAAAUAAUUAUAUAAAUGAGAACCAACUAAAUAAUUAAUACUUUUUUUAGCUCUAAUAUCAUGUUAGUAAAUUAAAAAGAGAAAAGAAAAGAGUAUGAGAGAAGAUAAUAAAAAUAGAAUUAAUUGAGAUGACUAACAUGAUUAGAUCAAACAUCUGCUUGUUGACUUGUAUAUAAUAUGAAAAGUAACCAAUUAGUAACUAGUUCUUAAUUCUUUAAGUCUUAACCAAUUACAUAUUUCUUUAGUAUAUACAAAUAAAAUAUAUUUACUUACCUUUAUUCAUCUUCCACCUUUCCCUAGUGUUUUCUGUCCCGUCCUUGUUUAUAUAAAUAAAUGCUGGGACAGUAUUUUGAGGACAAAACAACCUCAUGGUUCAUGAAUGAGACCACAAAGGGUCAAUGAGUCUUCCAAGGUUUGAACUCUGAUCACAGACUUGCUGAAAAAAGUGCACACAACACAGGGAUACAUAUCAUUUUCAAAAUCAUGUGCCUAAACUCAUGAAUGAGUUCACAAAAGGGUCAAUGGUCUUCUAAGGUUUGAACUCUAAACACAGACUUGCUGAAAAAUAUAUAUGUACACAACAAAGGUAUAACAUUUUCAAAAACAUUUUCAAAAUCAUGUGCCUUAAGAAGAGGGUAAACUUGUUCAUACUUGCUUCAAGGAGGUGUUGUUAACUACCCAACCAGCCACUACUCCGAUCAGUGACCAAGUUUUACCAAGUGGGCGGCUACUAAUGAAUUGAAGGCAUGACAUGGAAAGCCUUGGUUCACAAAAGGUUGCAGUAGAACCUAGUCACCAUGCACUCAUGAAGUUACUCAAAAGUGUGAGUGUGCUAGUUAUAAAUUGCAACCUAAUCACUUGUAACUCUCCAAGGUCCACUAUCUAGUGCUCUAUCUUUGUGUAUAUUCCCUGUGGUCCCCUUUUACUCAUUUCCAAACUUUAGCCUUUACAUCGUCAAGUUUUUCAUUUUCAGUUAAUCCUCAUCUCUUUUUUGAGUUUGUUCUCUCAAGGUAAUCUUCUUUGGUGUGGUUCUUCUUGGUCACACUGUUGUGAUAGCUGUUUCUAGUUAGUUACCUGUGAAACUUGUUUGUGUCAGGCCAUCUUGGCUUUUGUGCUGUGUUGUCUUGUCUCUCAGAUUGCAUAUGCCUUUGAUUGAGACUGGAAAGUGUUUCAGAAUUUGCAUUAUGUUUUUUCUUUAUUCUAUUUCGGUGAGAACUUUUGGAGUGAACUAAUAUAAAAUGAUGUGAAAAUGGUAUUUUGUCACUUAAAGUGUGCAUAUUCUGUGAUGGAUUUUGGGAAUUAGAAGACUCAGUUGAACUGCCUUUAAACCAAUUGUAAAAUUGAAAGUUGUUAGUUACUAUGUUAUCAAGAAGUGCCAAAACAAAAACGCAGGUUUGGAUAAAAAAAGGUUAUUGGGUUUCACAAUCUAUAGGAAGACUUCCACCAAAACUUUUCCUAUUAAGCUUUAGGUGGAGUCACCUGUGCAGUUGUACAAGUUUGUGAAUCCAAUACAACGUGAAGGUUUGUGAUUCAUACAGCUUUGCACUAUUUCUAGAAUGAGACCAUUUGUGCAAUAGAGAAAGAAUUUCAAAAGUGAAGUAGAUGUGACAUAAGUAUUAAACUUCUCAAUUUUUUUUCAUGUUAGUUUAACUUUCUUUUGGACUUUAUCAUUUUUUAUCUAUGAUGCAGUUUAGCCCAUGUCAGUCUCAGCUAGUCCAGCGCCACUGUUAGGGGAUCGACUGUGUGAAAAUGGAUUUAAGUGUUAAAAUUCUCCCUGCCACCAAUGAUGUACAUGGAGGAGUCAUUGUGGACUUAAAGGAGCCUAUGGACUCUGAAGAUUUUGCUACUUUGCUUAGAUCUUCACUUUUACAUUGGAAGCAACAGGUAAACAUUAUGAUCUAGAGCCUAAAAUGGUACUUUUUGUUGCAUUUAGUUCUCAUCUGAAAAAGUUUAGCCAUCUUGUCAAUGCCUAUUUCCACUUCUAAUCGUUGGCCGCUUUCUUUAUUUAGGUGCAACAAGUAGUUCACAUGGUAGUAUGAUAUCAUUUAUUUGACUUGAGAGCACCUCUUUAUGAGUGAAAUUUUGAAGCUAAUAAAGUUCUUCUAAGCAGGGAUUCUCUCUGGAUUCUGUUGGCCAUACGCGUUAAAACCAACUAUUAAAUAAUACAAAUAUUAAGUCAGCUGAUAUAUGUUCAGCAUACACGCUUCAACUCAAGAUGAAUGUUUUUAUCCAAAAAAAAUAAUCAUACUUUUCAAAGUCGUCAUUAAUGCUACAUGCACAUUAUGAAUUUUGUGACCCUACUCAAUAUUUCAAACCUUUAUCUGAAUGUGGCUGUGUGUGUGUAUAACCCUUUAUCUGUAUGAAUGUCAGCAUUUUUUUUCCUGCAUAACAUAAUGUUCUUGCCUAAAAUUUAUUCAGUCAUAAAAUGAAAACCUCUGACCUCUAGUUAGCCUUUAUUAACUUUAGUAAGCUUUGCAGGGAAAAGAUGGUGUUUGGAUCAAGCUACCUAUUGAGCUUGUUAAUCUUGCUGAAACUGCAGUUAAGGUAAUUUUGCCAUAUUUUCUUUGGGAGUUCUUUUAUAAAUUGUUUUAUGCAUGGUUCCUCAUCUUGCAAACCGCUUGUCAGAUCCAAUACUAAGAAAAACUUGUCAUAAUAAUGUGACAAACUCAUAUUAACCAUAUUAUAACUAUGAUCUCUAUUCUCUAAUUUUGAAAUGCAAUGGUAAUGUUUGUCUAGUAUCUGAUAGACAUCGCAUGUUAGCCUGAUAACCAUAUUAUUCAUAUUCAAAGCAUCUUGUGUCAAAUCUUGUCAUUUGGGGUAGCUACUAGUGUAAGGUGUAAGAUGAUUACAUCAAUUUCUAUUUCUAUUUUAUAUGUUCUUGUGUGAUGUUAAUAAUUGAGUUUGAGGAAAUUGAUGGAAUCUUGAUAUUUGAGAUUGAUAAUAAAAUUUGGUCAUAAAUGUGCUCUGUGUUAUGUGCUGGCAGGAGGGUUUUUGGUACCACCAUGCAGAGCCAAACUAUCUAAUGCUAGUUUACUGGAUUCCAAAAACUGGCUGCACAAUACCUCCAAAUGCUUCCCAUCGUGUAGCAGUUGGCGCAAUUGUCCUGAAUGAUAAGAAAGAGGUCUAAAAUAAGAUAAAAAUUUGGUUAUGUAGAUCCACAUGUUUUGUUACAAAUAUUCAACCUUUUUUUUCAUGAUGGCCUUCUCCUACUUUUUAUUUAUGUUUUUCCCUUUGUUUUGGGGUAUGGCGGGCUUGUUUGUAGGUUCUUGUGGUCAAGGAAAAGAGAGGUGGAUUUCAUGGGAUUGGUGUUUGGAAGAUACCUACUGGAUUAGUUGAUGCAGUAUGCUCUCUUUCAAAGACAGAUUUCAUCUAUUCUUGAAAAAAAUUUACAAUUUGGUUAGCGACUUGAAACUUGGAUUACCUGCAGGGUGAGGAGAUUUUUGAAGCAGCUAUUAGAGAAGUUAAAGAAGAGACAGGAGUAAGUAUAGUGUCAGAGUACAAUGUUGAAUUACCAAAUGCAUAUUGUAGAAUGUCAGCAUUAUUGUGUUAUAGUCAUGACUUUUAUCGUGGUCUGUUUUAUUUUUGUUCAGAUUGACACAGAAUUUGUGGAAGUACUAGCAUUCAGGUAUGAAUUUUCUAAAAUGUGACACCUAAACUAUGAGAUACCCUUUAGUUUGUGCUGAUAUUAUAUAAAGGGUAAGGCACCUAGGUUCAGUCUACAAAUGAAAAAAAGUCCUUAAUAACUUUUUAGGAGAAGUUUCAUAUAGAUCCAUAGUUUUAGAAAGGAAAUUUCCUACCAGCAGGCCAAAUAGAAUUUGAGUUAAAUUACAUUUAAGCUCAGGGGAAACACUAUGAAGGACACUUGCUUUGUUUUUCUCUUCUAAUCAAUAGUUUGACAUCCUAAUAAAUUAAAGUUCAUAAAAGAAAUAAAAAAUUUCCAACACUUGACCUGUCUUUCUUCUUCUUUCUUUACCAUAUAAUUGCUUUUGACAUUCUGUUGUUUCUGAUUUUCAGACACACACACAAUUCAUUCUUUGGAAAAUCAGAUAUAUCUUUUAUUUGCAUGCUGUGUCCUCUUUCUUUUGACAUCAAAAAGCAAGAACUGGAAAUUGAGGCAGCUCAGGUAUUUUCGUUUGAUAGAUGCAGAACAUAAUGUAAACACCUCACAAAUGAUACUCUAAAAUGAUAGAUGCAGAAUAUAAAAGAGGUGACAUCAAAUUAAUGGAUAUUCUUCUUCCCUCCUCAACUUAACGAUGCAAAUCAGUCUUAUGUCAAUACUCCAGCUCACCAUUCGUCAACAAAGUCCAAUUGUGCAAAGCACUAUGAAUAACUGAAAACACGCAAAAAUUGUUUUCCAUAAAGAAAAGACUUAUGAACAGAUCACGUUAGCUUAUUAGAAUGAUUAAUAUUUUUUUUUCACAAACAAAUCAUAGUUAUGUUUAUUGAAUGUGACACAUUUUGUGACCACUAUCUACAUAAUGAAUUUGUUCAAACAUUUAUUAUAGUAUUUGAACUAAUUAUUGCAAUUUGUUCAAAUCACAAUGAACUGGUUCAAACGAUGGUCCUUCAAGUUGUUGAAGAAUGACUGUGGAACUAAUUAUAGCAUAGGAAUCUAAGAACAUACAUGAUAGAGGAUAUUUUUGGUUCCAAGUUCUUCAAAAGAUAGUUGAUAAGAUGAUGGUAUGUUAUUCUUUAUUAGAAGUCUGCAUAUCACAUAUAAUUGCUGAUUUUCCUCACCAUUGCCAUAUAAUUCAUUGUCAUUGCAUUUGCAUGUUUACCUCGUGACACUAGUGCUAUUAUGACCAUAUUUUGCAUGUGUUGGUGAUGCAUUUAAUUUUCUUGACUAAAAUCUUCUUUGUUGUGCUUUGUAUUUUCUCACAAAGUGGAUGCCGUUCAAGGAAUUUGCUGAUCAACCUUUUAAUCAGAUGCAUGAACCCUUCAAGUACAUGAUUGAAUUAUGCUUGGCAAAGGUUGAAAAAGUCUAUAAUGGAUUCUCUCCGCGACCUGUCUCGUCGUAUUUCGUGAAGGAGUUGAAUUAUCUAUAUUUGAAUAGCCAUGGCCUGGACAAAUCUUCUUAAGUUUUCCAAAUCAACCUUGGUCGUCAUCCAUAAAAGUUGAUUUAAGUAUUUCUUUCUUGUAAAGGCUUAAUUAUGUUUUUUCCCCUUAAAUUUAGGUUAUUUUUAUUUUUUUCCUUCAAAUUUAAAUCUAUUUUUCUAGUCUUCAAAUUUUAAAAAUAUUCUUUUUAGUCUCUCUUGCGACAAAAAAUUAUCACAAAUUAUGCAUUCAAAUAAAUUAGCAAAAAUCAAUCAAGAGGGAUUAAAAAAAGUAUUUUUCUAAAUUAAGAGACUAAAAAAACUAAUUUAAAUUUGAGGGACCAAAAACAAAAAUAACUUAAAUUUGAUAAACCAAAAACAUAUUUAAACCUUCUUGUAAGACAUGUUGGAGUUUAAUUUUAAACUUUAGAUUAUUAACAUUACUUAUAAAAAUAAGAUUUAUAAUAUUUUAAUUGAUAGAUCAUAGUUAUUAAUUGUUUGAUCUUAUAAUGUGAGUGUGUGUCUAUUAUUGGUUGGAAAAUAUUUGAUGAAUAUGUUAGCAAUAGUAACCAAAAUUCUAAAGGGAAUGAGAGAAAUCACAUGUCACACACAAACACAAGAAAUUUAACGAGGUUUGACAAGUGUGCCUAGGUCCUCGGGAGCAAAGUGAUAGUUUCUUUUUCUUCUUCAUAAACAAUGAGGUUACGUCAAAAUAUAUAUAAUAUACACACACAUUUUCUUAAACAACAUAAAUUAUCUUUAUCCGCUUUAUAAUAUUAUGUCUAGCGUGGGGACUUUACCUCACACCCCCAACUCGCUUCGUAAUCCAACAAUUGGUGUCCCUUAUGCUACGAUACAACAUUUGUCAUGUCCAUAAAAUAUGAGUCAUGCAUAGCAAUCUCCACCAUGGAGAAUAUUCAACCCCAUGGAAAAUAAACAAGAAGUCCAUCUCAUAAUGUUAUAGGUUGGGGUCUUGUCACGUCUUGCAUUGAACAACAUUCAACAAGUCCAAGAAAUGCUUGAACUUCUUAGUUGUGAUCACCUUGGUUAACAUAUCAACUGUAUUCUUUGAAGUGUGAAUCUUCCUAAGCAAAACCUAAUCAAAUGUCAUCAACUCCUUGAUUUUUUCGAACCUCACAUUAAUAUGUUUUCUUAUAGCAUGAUACACCCGACUCUUUGCUAAAUCGAUAGCACUUUGACUAUCACAAUGCAACUGAACUCCACCUUGUUCAAUGCCCAGCUCCUUCACUAGCCUUGCUUACUACACAACUUCCUUACUAGCCUCUGUGCUACCUCCAUGUACUCUGCUUUAGUUGUCGGCAUUGCCACAAGAGAUUGAACAAUGGACUUCCAACAAACAGGCCCACCUCUAAGAGUAAAGACAUACCAUGUUGUAGACCUUCUAUCAUCUAGAUCACCAACAUAGUCAGAAUUCACAUAUCUCACAACUGAAGGAUCACCCUAUUAACUGAUGAAUAUAAUAUCAUGACCUGUUGUACCCUUUAAAUACUUUAAGAUCCACUUUAUUUCUUCCCAUUGUCACUUCUCUAGGUGAGACAUAAACUUGUAGACUUGACUUACAACAUGUGCCAAAUUUAGGCUAAUGCACACCAUAACAUACAUCAGGAAACCAACUUCACUGGCAUAAAGAACCUUUGACAUGUACUGCACCUUAGUAUUUGUCUUCAAACAUUGAUCUAUAUAAAGGUUAAAAUGUUUUGCUAAUGGAGUACUCACAUGCUUCACAUUCCUCAUGUUGAACCUGUUUAACACCUUCUCAAUGUAGCCCUACUGUGAGAGCCACAUUUUUUUGGAUUUUUUGUCUUUGUGAACCUCCAGCACAAGAAUCUUCUUGGCACGAACCAAGUCCUUCAUGUCAAACUCCUAACUCAGCAAUGAUUUCAAGUCAUUCACAUCAUGCAAAUCUUUACCAACAAUCAGUAUAUUAUCAAUAUGCAGUAGCAGAAAAAUGAAAGAGUCAUCAUCAAGGCUCCUCACAUAAACACAAUAGUCAUACUCACAUCGCCAGUAGUCAAUCUGAAGCAUGUAGGAAUCAAACUGCUUGUACCACUGCCUUGGAGACUGCUUCAAUCCAUACAGAGACAUCUCCAACAUACAAACCAAUUGUCUUGGUCCACCUUUAUUGAACCCAUCUGGCUGCUCCAUGUAAUUUUUCUCUUCUAAAUCAUCAUGAAGAAAGGUUGUCUUCACAUCUAUUUACUGUAAGUGCAUGUCACAAUUGGUUACCAACACUAGCACUGCCCUAAUAGAAAUGUGUCUUACGACGGGAGGAAAAAUCUAAUGAUAAAUGACCCCCUUCUACUAUGCAUACCCCUUGGUUACUAAGCGAGCCUUGAACUUUUCCCCUUCUUUUUCUGAUACUAAAGGUUUCAUCUUGUUCACUCAUUUGCUCUAUGGCUUUCUUGCCCUCAUAAAGCUCAACUAGCUCCCAUGUAUGAUUCUUAUGCAAAAACUCUAUCUCCUCCACUAAACCACCCAUUAAUCUAUCUGUCUCUUGGUUUUUCAUAGCCUCUUGAAAGGUGGAAGGAUCUUUAACACUAAUGAAAAGUGCAAAAGUAGCCAAUUUAGUCAAUUCUUUAAACCUAUAUCAGACAACAAGUUUAAUGGUACGAUGAUCUCUAUCUUUGAUAGGAUUGUACUCCGGAUGUAGGCCACCUGGAAUCACUAAUCUAGGCUUAGGUGUGGAUGUGGCCUUAGGUCUUGGAUUGCAUGGUUCAACCCUCUUAGGAAUCUCUAGCAACUACUUAAAUUCCACUUAAACCUCCAUGGAUCCACUGCCAACUCCAUUAAUACUCAUCCGAGCCGGUCACUAAGUCAAACCAUUGGCUCUGAUACCAAUUUUUGUUUAGCUGGGGGGUAAACAUCGGAGAGAUUUACACCAAUGGGUCAUGGUCAACUACAUAAGUGAGUUUGAUACCACACUUUAACACAAAACCUUAAGGCUUAAGUUUAUAGGCUUUAUCCUUUACUUAUAUGGUGUUCAAGCAUCCCAUUCCUACCUAAUGUGAGACUUCACCUCACACUUAUACUCCAGAAAUCUCUCUCUCAAGUGUGAGUCUCUUCCACAUAGUAGUCUCUCCUCAAGCAUAAGCCAUUUUCUAUCCAUGAGUAUCCAAUGGUGGUCCUUAGAGUUUAACCGUGGUUGUCCCGACCUUACCUAGCCAUUGUCGCCAACAUGUUCUAGUGCCUUGAUCGCCACUCUCCACUGUUUCAUGGCUACGAGACACGUCGCUCAGCCUUUCGUGCAUGGACUCACUCGUCAAGUAGACUUUUGAUACAGGGGACACAUUGUUUUCCCCUCCAUGCAUGGACUCAUCCCUCAAUUUCACAUCAAUUAGUAUCAUAACCAAUGGUUUGACUUGGUGACCAGCUCAAACAAGUAUUAAUGAAGUUGGUAGUGGAUCCAUGGACAUCGAGAUCCCUUGUACCGAAAGUCUUCCUGAAGGGUGAGUCCAUGGAUAGAGGUCAGACAGCGAGUCCCGCAGAUGUUGUGGUAGUGCAAAUAACUAAAGUAUGUUGGCGGAAAUGACUAGGCAAGUCGGGGCAAUCAUGAUUAAGCUUUAAGGUCUACCAUAGAAUACUUGUGGAUAAAAAUGGCUUCCACUUGAGGGAGGGUCUACCAUGUGAAAAAGACUCACACUUGUGGGAGAGAUUGUUGGAGUACAAGUGUGAGGUGAAGUUUCACAUCGAGUAGGAAAUAGAAGGUUGAACUCCAUAUAAGUGAAGGAUAAAACUUAUAAACCUAAGCAUCAAUGUUUUGAGUUAAAGUGUGGUGUCAAGUUCACUUAUGUGGUGUGUUUGUGACCAAUUGGUAUAAAUCCCCUAGGUGUUUACCCCUUUUUAAUUUCACAUCGAUUAGUAUUAGAACCAAAUGAAAAGAAAGAUCAGAUACUUGAGGUCUAACAAUGGCACAAAAUACACAAACUCAUGGUUCCAAAAAUUUGUGAGAAACAUGGCAUUCAAAGACAUUUCUCAAUGUGGAAAACACCACAACAAAAUGAUGUUGCAGAGAGGAUGAAUAGGUCCCUUACUGAAAGGAUAUGGUGUCUAAGGUUGCAAGAUGGCCUUUCUAUAUAGGCUUUUGGGCAUAAAUGAUGAAUAUGGUGUGUUAUUUGCUCAACAGAUCACCACGAGCAUCAUUGGAUGAGAAAGUUGCAAUGAAAGUCUCGACAGAUUUUAAUAAUUUAAGAAUAUUUAGGUGUCCUACUUUUGUGCGUAUAUCCAAUGAUGAGAGAUAUAAACUUGAUCCAAAGUCAAAAAAAUUGUAUUUUUGUAGGUUAUUCUAAAGGCAUGAAAGGGUUCAAGUUUUGGGAUUUAGUUUCCAUGAAGUUGGUGAUUAGUAGGGAUAUAGUGUUUGAUGAGCAAUCCAUGUUACCAAAGAUAGUUGAAACAACUUUGUCAGUGUCUGAUGGAAUUUCCCUUAGCUCCAUGGAGGUUUAAGUGGACUUUGACCAUCUAUCAAAGAUUCUUAAGAAGGAAGAACCACCUUGGCGAAUAUCUAGCCUCAUGGAAGAUAAAUAAAAAAUCCACCUCAAUCUAUUGGGUUGGGGUUCUGUCACUUUUUCGACAAGUCCAAGCAAUGCUAGAUGUCAUCAACUCCCUGAUCUUGUGGAAGAUCACAUUAAUGUUGUAUAACCCAAUGGGAUAUAAGCAACCACAUAAGUAACUUUGACACUAGCCUUAACUCAAAACCUUAAGGCCUAGGUUUAUAGGUCUUAUCCUUCACCUAUAUGGUGUUCAACCAUUCAAUUACUACCCAAUGUGAAACUUCACCUCACAUUUAUAUUACAACAGAACAUCCAAGAACCAAUUCAACAACUAGAGAGAGAGAAAAAAGAGAGGAAAAAUAUAGGUAUGAUAAGAUUUAUGAUGUGAUAGGAAAAGAGAUAAAGAGAAAUGAAAGGUGUUGGUGAAAUGUUUAAAAUAAAUAGUAGUUCAUGUAUCAUUACUCUUGUUGGUUAGGUUGUCACUUGGUACUUAAAUAAGAGGACGUGUUUUCUUCCUAAUAGUUAUAAAAUUGUCGUCCCGUAAGGUAAUUUUGUGUGGCACAUUGUAGGAGAAAACCUAGUUGUCAAGUAGAGAAAAACAUCUCCCUUGUUUUGGCUUUUGUGUACACACCUACUAAUUGCAGCAACAAACAAGGAUUUCAUUUUCUCUUUAUGUAUGCACCUACUAAUUUUUAUAAUUGUUAUUGUAUAGUUAUGAACAUGUUAUGUCAAUACAUCAUUUGUCAUUAAAUUUUCAUCCAAAAGAAGUGUUAGUAAUACACUCUUUAACAUGUCUCUCUCAACACAUUAUGUUAUUGAUUAAAAUAUAUUAAAAAUUGUUAAGUAAAAUGGACACAUGGACACGCACACACACCCCACACACCCACCCACCCACCCACCCACAGAAAUUCUUCAAGGGGAGUUGCAAUUGAAGUUUGAGCAUAAGUUGAGUGAUUACUAAGAAGAAAAAAACAUAAGAAAUGAAUUUACAAGUUUGAUGAAGCUAACUGAAACAAACUAUAUCGUUGUGAAAAGUUUUCUUAAAUGUAUCUUUUGGACAUAUCUUAGUUUUAUGUUCUUACCUUGGACAAAUGUGGUUUCAAUUUCAGCUUUGAAUAAUUGUAGUUACAUCUUUUGAGCUUAGAAAUGGAAAACUUGUUAUUUAUUUCCUUAUUUUUGGAUGGAGAGUUUUUUAGUAUGCUAAAUUUUAAAGACAUGUUUGUUAAUUUUAUUGUUGGACAUAUAAAUGUGAUGUAAGCAUGCCCCCUCCAAAAAAAAAUAGAACGAAACUUUUAAACAGAUAAAGAAAACUAAAAAUUAAAAUUGAACAUUUUAAAAAGUCAGCAUUAAGAGUCAUGCAAGCUGAUUGCAAUUUGUUUGCUACUUCAAUAUCAUAAUGACAAAUGUUCUGCCAUGCGGCAUCAUAUCCGAUAUAUCAAAAGCGGUGACAAAUGCAUGACCUUAUUAGACAGCUGCUGAUUUCAUAUAUAUCUGAUUAUGUAUUGUCUGUAAGAACAGCAAUGUUCUUCUAAACCUUUCUCUAGUUUGAAAGGAAAAACAAAUGUUUCCAACAAAGUUUCUUCUAUUUGAAACCACCAUUUGGUUACCACUCUCUAAUUUUACCUUUAAAGCUUCAUGAGACAAUGUUACUCAACCCCCAACAUGUCUGAAUUGCUCCAAAUGUGAAUACCCUUGUCAACAACAACCCUCAACACCACUUCCAUAUCUUGCUCCACCACCACUACAACCAUCAUCUCCUCCACCUUAUGGUUACUCUAUAUAUGGAGCACCACCACCACCAAAAGAGAAAGACAAAGACCCUAGCAAGUGCCCUCCUGCUGCAGGUGUUCAGUGCUGCACCCCUCCAGCUCCUUAUGUUUGGCUCCUCCAUAUCCUUACACUCCUGUGCCUUAUGGUCAAGACCAACGUUCUGCUUCAAUGCUUCUUCAAGUUGUAGUUCCACUCAUGAUGUUUUUCUCUUCCUUUUAUUUUUCUCUUCUGAAUUUUGUGGGUGUUUAUCAUUGUCAAGUCUACAACAAUUAAGUAGUGAUCAUUUUAAAUUGGAUAUCGAUACCAUGUGUUUGAUGCUCUUAUAAUUGUGAUUUUUUUAUUUCUAAGAAUCAAACUUUAGAAUUAUUUUUAUAUAUAACCAUCAUAAUCAUAAAUUUUAGAAUUAAACUCAAUUUUUCUCUUUUAGAAUUGAAAAUGUUCAUAUAAUCCUUCACAUAAAAUUCUACUGAGGGAAAGGAAAAAUAUAACCCUGGUUGAUGAGAAGGCAAAGGGUAUUGGAUGUGUCCUAGCUAACGACCAAAAUGGCCUCUGCAAGAUCCUUACACAACGACAAGUGUUUGAGGGCAAAACAUUUUUCUUUGUGUAUGUGAAUCCGAUGAGUAAGGGAGUAGUUUCUGCAUAUGGGAGAAGGGUGAAGAAACAAGAAGGCCAUGAUUGUCCUGAGCUAGGCUACCGAAUGCAUUUAAUGUUGGACUGGACCACCUAUUAUUUCUCGAGAUAAAUAUAUAUGAUGUCAUGCCAAACUCACCUUAUGAGAGAAAACACUCUGUUGCCAAGGGAAAUUAUCCUCAAGUACUCGUUAUUACUUUAUUAUACGGUUUUCUCGAUGUUGUUUUGACUAGUAACGAAGGAUGAAUUUGUCUAAACUUUAAAAAAAAAAACUAAAAUAAGUAUUUUUUUAUGUAAAUGUUUUAUUAGGUAGGAUUUACUUCUUGAAAAAAACAGAAAAUGAUUUAUUUUAAGUGAAAAUAAUUUAAACUAACACAUCAGAAAAUCGUAUAAUUAUUUAUUUUAUUUUUAAAAAUAAGCUUUAAAACACUAACCCGAAAUCUUAAUACCCGAAGGUGUCCUUGAUGAAAAAUGCAUCAGAAACUAGCCCUCUAGUGACUAUAUGCAUCUACAAUUAACAAUUAAAAAACUUGAAAUUGCAUUGUGGAAGCCACUCUAAAGAGAGAUACCUUAAAAAAUUGCUCGUAUGCCAUUGAUAGCAGGAAGCACAUUGCACAGGGUACUGAAUACUGAUUAGUAAAAAGCGAAAGAAUAAUUCACGUUGCACUCUGUAAGUUGCUGCGUGAUUUGUACUUUAAAGUCGCUUCCAUAUUAUAUUUACAUGUGAUGUGGGACUUGUAAAAGUAGUAAAGCGCACGAGUAACUUUCCAUUUCUGACCACCAGUGUGAUAUAAUUAAUUUUGAAUUAAAUUGGUUUUAUAAAAUUAAUUUGAUUAAAAUUGAUUUAUGUUUAAAUAUUUUUAUUAUAAAAUUAAAUUAAUAGUAAAAUUUAUUAUAGAUUUUCUUAUUCAAUGCAAAAAUUGUUUAAAAUUAUUUUAAUUCAAUCAAUUUAAAAAGUUACGUGAAAUUAAAUACAUAAAAAUAAAUUUAAAAUUAAUUUUAGACUCAAUGAAUUUUCUUGGUCGAACUAAACACACAUUUAUUAUUCAUUAUGUGCUUAGCAAAAGAAAGCAACUUUAUUCCCUUAGUGGCAAUAACUUGACUAGUUAGGAUAUAUAUAUUGUAUUAUUCAUUAUGUGCUUAGCAAAAGAAAGCAACUUUAUUCCCUUAGUGGCAAUAACUUGACUAGUUAGGAUAUAUAUAUUGUAUGCUUUCACUGUAUGAUGCAUUGCAUCCUAAACAUUUUUCUGUCUAAUUUGAAAUACAUAAUCGCCUGAUUUUUGUUUAAUUUGAAAUAAUAUUGUAUGUUUAAUUUGGAAUAAGAAGCACUAAUAACACAUCUCUACACAAAUACGAUAACAAUGAAUGUAAUUUUAAACAAAUCUAAAAAUACAAAAAAAGACAAAAAGUCAAUAUAUCAUAAAUUUUCAAUGUUCUUAUUUCUUGAAAACAGAAAACAAAAAAUCAAACCAAACAUGUUUUCAGAAUUUUAAUUUUUUAAAAAUAAAAAUAAUUUUUAAAAAAUGAAAACAGAAAAUAAAAAUAUAAAUCAAACACUCCCUAAAAAAUAACUCUGCUGUUUCAUUUUUUUUUUUAUAGAGAAAUUGCAUCACAACGAUUACAUUAUCUGCAUAGUAGUACGUGUUAGUAAUUACCUACCCUAGUGAGAAGGAAACUGAUUAACGAUUGAAAUUCCUUAGCCAAUUGGAACUCGUGGAUUUUAAAUUGCGACUAGGAGGGUACCUUUGUAAAUUCUUAAAAAUUUGUUAUCAAAAGAAACCCAAUGGCGAAAAGUAAAAUAUAGGAAAUACAAGAAUAGAAGUUACUGCAAAUGAAAUGAUUUUUAUUUUUAAUUUUCGUAAGAGAUUAUUCUAACAAUAUUCAUUGGUCCUCAUAACAUAUGUUUCAUGUUCCUAUAAAUAUAAUACAGUAGUGUUUUUUUUUACUGAAAAAUAAUACAGUAGUUGCAAAAUGUAACAAUAUUUCUUUUUGAAAGCAACAAUUUUGUUUUUAAUUCCUACAAAACAGCUAUAUUUUGAGUCUCUACUUUACCUCCUACAAAUAUAACAUUUUUUUAUUUAUUUUAAUACCUACCGUCACGACAAGAAUUAAGAACAGAAAACCAAAAAAUCAAGUUACGGAGAAGAAAAUGACAAGAACAAAAAACACUAUAUUUACGGUUAUGUAGUACAAACAUAUUUAAUCAUAAAAUAUAAAAUGAACUUUUAUUAAAUGAAAGAAAUAAAUAAUAAUGAAAGCAUCUCAGUUUCCAGUUAAAUUAAAAAACCAUCCUGUAAAUUGGUUUGUUCAUUACUUUACCUCAUCAAUAGUUCUGAAACUAUAAGCCUUAUCCGCAUGCUUCAUUUUCUUACUUAACUCUAUGAAAACGUUUAAAUUUAAAGAAAAUAACCACAAGCCAUUAUAACCAAUUUAAAAGCAGCACCAAACACUGAUCAAGACGAAAAAACAAGCAGGGCCAAAGGAUCCACCCUUUGUCCUUGUCAACAACAACACAAAACACAUUAAUUCUAAUAAGGGCCCAACUUCUGAACAAAACAACUAUAUAAAUUAUAAAGUAGUGAAUUUAUUUAUGCCUACAAAACAACUAUAUAAAAAGUAGUGAAUUUAAACCUCUACAAUGUUAGGUGUCGGCUUCACUCUUUGAUUCAGUCAAUUUCAUAUGAUUUCAUAUCNNNNNNNNNNNNNNNNNNNNNNNNNNNNNNNNNNNNNNNNNNNNNNNNNNNNNNNNNNNNNNNNNNNNNNNNNNNNNNNNNNNNNNNNNNNNNNNNNNNNUGUUCGUCAUCAACGUGUCGGUGAUCUUCGCAGUGGUGAGCUUCGUUUUCAGAGUAACAUCUUCACCGUCGUUCUGAACAGUGAAGUCGAACUUGUUAGCGCCAUCAGUGGCGAGAGUGUUCUGAAGUCCGUUGUUGGAUUUGAGAGUGGCUUUGGACUGGUAAACCGGAACACCGUGGAAUUCGAGAAGCGCGACCUUACCGGAUUUGGUUAGGUUUUUGAAUUUGGGGAGAAACGCUUUGAACGCGUCGUCGAGGGGGCAAAAGACGGUUAAGCCCCCAUCGAGGUUGUCAUUGAAGGUGUUAAGCGCGUCGGGUUGAGCAGAGAGAGCGUCGGCGAAGACCUUGCAUCCGUGUUUUGACAUAAUGUUGGUGAGGUUUUGUUGGGUGGGUGCGGGUGCAGGGGCUUCCGCUGCGGCAGAGGGGAGAACUUUGCUGAUCUGGAUUACUGAGAUGUUGUAAGGGAUUUCUUCUACGGAUUUGACGAAAGUUGAGGAGAGUGUGCCGUCGUUGUUUUCGGCGCCGAAGCCGACCUUUCCGCCGUGGAGGUCGGUGAUGUUGACGAAGCCGGCGGAUCCGGGAGCGCUGCCGGUGGCCUGGUACAUGGUGGCGGCGAGGGCGGUGCCGUUGGUGAUCUGGUGGAGCUUCUUGGCGCCGAAGUAGUCGAGGAGGACGUGGAGGGAGAGGAUGUUCUUGAUGGUGUAAAUGGAGGGGUGCUUGCUGAGGAGGUCCGACAUGGCGGCGUUGUCCACGGCGCAGACGGUGAUGGUGGUUUUGCCGUUGAUUUCCGGGGCCAGGUGGGUCAGGGUCAGGUAGUGGUUGAAGGUGGAGAACUCAGGGUGCUUUG